This 253-nucleotide ribosomal RNA is filed under the name uncultured bacterium. Its description in RNAcentral is "partial 16S ribosomal RNA". It matches the Rfam family "Bacterial small subunit ribosomal RNA", at positions 524 to 776 of the family's 1533-position model. The record is from RNAcentral.
UACGGGGGGGGCAAGCGUUGUUCGGAAUUACUGGGCGUAAAGGGCUCGUAGGUGGCCAACUAAGUCGGACGUGAAAUCCCUCAGCUUAACUGGGGAACUGCGUCCGAUACUGGAUGGCUCGAGUUUGGGAGAGGGAUGCGGAAUUCCAGGUGUAGCGGUGAAAUGCGUAGAUAUCUGGAGGAACACCGGUGGCGAAGGCGGCAUUCUGGACCGAUAUUGACGCUGAGGAGCGAAAGCCAGGGGAGCAAACGGG